This 72-nucleotide transfer RNA is filed under the name Cavia porcellus (domestic guinea pig). It matches the Rfam family "tRNA". From Rfam's summary of the family: Transfer RNA (tRNA) molecules are approximately 80 nucleotides in length. Lineage: Eukaryota; Metazoa; Chordata; Mammalia; Rodentia; Caviidae. The record is from Rfam by way of RNAcentral.
GGGGAUUUAGCUCAGUGGUACAGCACCUGCUUGGCAAGCGUGCAGUCCCGAGUUCAAUUCACAGUACCCCCA